This 303-nucleotide unclassified non-coding RNA is filed under the name plant metagenome. Its description in RNAcentral is "partial contains 5.8S ribosomal RNA, internal transcribed spacer 2, and large subunit ribosomal RNA". The stretch from base 1 to 104 matches the Rfam family "5.8S ribosomal RNA", at positions 51 to 154 of the family's 154-position model. The record is from RNAcentral.
AAAUGCGAUAAGUAAUGUGAAUUGCAGAAUUCAGUGAAUCAUCGAAUCUUUGAACGCACAUUGCGCCCGCCAGUAUUCUGGCGGGCAUGCCUGUCCGAGCGUCAUUUCAACCAUCAAGCCCCCGGGCUUGUGUUGGGGACCUGCGGCUGCCGCAGGCCCUGAAAAGCAGUGGCGGGCUCGCUGUCACACCGAGCGUAGUAGCAUACAUCUCGCUCUGGGCGUGCUGCGGGUUCCGGCCGUUAAACCACCUUCGUAACCCAAGGUUGACCUCGGAUCAGGUAGGAAGACCCGCUGAACUUAAGC